UACGAAGGGGGCUAGCGUUGUUCGGAAUUACUGGGCGUAAAGCGCACGUAGGCGGAUUGCCAAGUCAGGGGUGAAAUCCCGGGGCUCAACCUCGGAACUGCCUUUGAUACUGUCAGUCUAGAGUCCGGAAGAGGUGGGUGGAAUUCCUAGUGUAGAGGUGAAAUUCGCAGAUAUUAGGAAGAACACCGGUGGCGAAGGCGGCCCACUGGUCCGGAACUGACGCUGAGGUGCGAAAGCGUGGGGAGCAAAC
Molecule: ribosomal RNA, 250 nt
Filed under: uncultured bacterium
Lineage: Bacteria
Description: partial 16S ribosomal RNA
Rfam family: Bacterial small subunit ribosomal RNA
Source: RNAcentral